Molecule: ribosomal RNA, 56 nt
Filed under: Dictyosphaerium ehrenbergianum
Lineage: Eukaryota; Viridiplantae; Chlorophyta; Trebouxiophyceae; Chlorellales; Chlorellaceae
Description: partial 28S ribosomal RNA
Rfam family: Eukaryotic large subunit ribosomal RNA
Source: RNAcentral
UCGACCUGAGCUCAGGCAAGAUUACCCGCUGAACUUAAGCAUAUCAUUAAGCGGAG